RNAcentral lists this ribosomal RNA (497 nucleotides) under uncultured bacterium. RNAcentral describes it as "partial 16S ribosomal RNA". It matches the Rfam family "Bacterial small subunit ribosomal RNA", at positions 28 to 507 of the family's 1533-position model. The record is from RNAcentral.
GAUGAACGCUGGCGGCGUGCCUAAUACAUGCAAGUCGAGCGAACGGACGAGAAGCUUGCUUCUCUGAUGUUAGCGGCGGACGGGUGAGUAACACGUGGAUAACCUACCUAUAAGACUGGGAUAACUUCGGGAAACCGGAGCUAAUACCGGAUGAUAUUUUGAACCGCAUGGUUCAAAAGUGAAAGACGGUCUUGCUGUCACUUAUAGAUGGAUCCGCGCUGCAUUAGCUAGUUGGUAAGGUAACGGCUUACCAAGGCAACGAUGCAUAGCCGACCUGAGAGGCUGAUCGGCCACACUGGAACUGAGCCACGGUCCAGACUCCUAAGGGAGGCAGCAGUAGAGAAUCUUCCGCAAUGGGCGAAAGCCUGACGGAGCAACGCCGCGUGAGUGAUGAAGGUCUUCGGAUCGUAAAACUCUGUUAUUAGGGAAGAACAUAUGUGUAAGUAACUGUGCACAUCUUGACGGUACCUAAUCAGAAAGCCACGGCUAACUACGUG